This 254-nucleotide ribosomal RNA is filed under the name uncultured bacterium. RNAcentral describes it as "partial 16S ribosomal RNA". It matches the Rfam family "Bacterial small subunit ribosomal RNA", at positions 524 to 776 of the family's 1533-position model. The record is from RNAcentral.
UACGAGGGGUCCUAGCGUUGUUCGGAAUCAUUGGGCGUAAAGGGUGUGUAGGUGGCUAUGUAAGUCAGGUGUGAAAGCCCCGGGCUCAACCCGGGAAGUGCAUCUGAUACUGCGUAGCUUGAGUACCGAAGAGGAUAGUGGAAUUCCAGGUGUAGUGGUGAAAUACGUAGAUAUCUGGAGGAACACCGGUGGCGAAGGCGGCUAUCUGGUCGAGUACUGACACUGAGACACGAAAGCAUGGGGAUCAAAACAGG